RNAcentral lists this transfer RNA (91 nucleotides) under Blumeria hordei DH14. Its description in RNAcentral is "tRNA-Leu for anticodon UAG". It matches the Rfam family "tRNA". Rfam says of the family: Transfer RNA (tRNA) molecules are approximately 80 nucleotides in length. Their secondary structure includes four short double-helical elements and three loops (D, anti-codon, and T loops). Lineage: Eukaryota; Fungi; Ascomycota; Leotiomycetes; Helotiales; Erysiphaceae. The record is from Rfam by way of RNAcentral. RNAcentral also lists the same sequence under 1 other name.
GGGGUUCUGGCCGAGUGGUUAAGGCGCUGUGUUUAGGUUCAUUGACCAACCGCAGUGGGAAACCGCGCAGGUUCGAAUCCUGCGGACCUCA